This 486-nucleotide ribosomal RNA is filed under the name uncultured bacterium. RNAcentral's name for it is "bacterial SSU rRNA". It matches the Rfam family "Bacterial small subunit ribosomal RNA", at positions 28 to 533 of the family's 1533-position model. The record is from RNAcentral.
GAUGAACGCUGGCGGCAUGCCUAAUACAUGCAAGUCAAACGGGUGUAGCAAUACACAAGUGGCGAACGGGUGAGUAACACAUAGACAACUUGUCCUUAAGACGAGGAUAACAGUUGGAAACGACUGCUAAAACUGGAUAGGAUAAAGUAACGCAUGUUAAGAUAUUUAAAGAUGCUUUUGGGCACUACUUAAGGAGGGGUCUAUGUCGCAUUAGCUAGUUGGUGAGGUAAGGGCUCACCAAGGCGACGAUGCGUAGCUGUGCUGAGAGGCAAAACAGCCACACUGGGACUGAGACACGGCCCAGACUCCUACGGGGGGCAGCAGUUGGGAAUCUUGCGCAAUGGGGGCAACCCUGACGCAGCGACGCCGCGUGCGGGAUGACGAUCUUCGGAUUGUAAACCGCUUUUCCCAGGGACGAUAAUGACGGUACCUGGGGAAUCAGCCCCGGCUAACUCCGUGCCAGCAGCCGCGGUAAGCUGUAGUCGU